RNAcentral lists this ribosomal RNA (431 nucleotides) under uncultured bacterium. RNAcentral's name for it is "bacterial SSU rRNA". It matches the Rfam family "Bacterial small subunit ribosomal RNA", at positions 332 to 762 of the family's 1533-position model. The record is from RNAcentral.
CCGACUCCUACGGGAGGCAGCAGUAAGGAAUAUUGGUCAAUGGACGCAAGUCUGAACCAGCCAUGCCGCGUGGAGGAUGAAGGUCCUCUGGAUUGGUAAACUUCUUUAUUUGGGAAGAAACCCACGAUUUCUAUUGUGGUUGACGGUACCAGAUGAAUAAGCACCGGCUAACUCCGUGCCAGCAGCCGCGGUAAUACGGAGGGUGCAAGCGUUAUCCGGAUUCACUGGGUUUAAAGGGUGCGUAGGCGGGUUGGUAAGUCCGUGGUGAAAUCUCCAAGCUUAACUUGGAAACUGCCGUGGAUACUAUCAAUCUUGAAUAUAGUGGAGGUGAGCGGAAUAUGUCAUGUAGCGGUGAAAUGCUUAAUAUGACAUAGAACACCCAUUGCGAAGGCAGUCGCUACACUAUUAUUGACGCUGAGGCACGAAAGCGU